Non-coding RNA from Punica granatum (pomegranate), 441 nucleotides. Lineage: Eukaryota; Viridiplantae; Streptophyta; Magnoliopsida; Myrtales; Lythraceae. The record is from RefSeq and is a predicted model, not a curated record.
ACCGAUGGACAGAUAACAUUUUUACGCUGCGGCAGUGGUGCUCAAACAAUUUUCCAGAAGCCAAAGAACAGUUAGAACACAUGUACAAGGAGAUUGGGAUAACUGAGGAUUUCGACUAUUUGGAACUGCCAUCUGCUGGUUGAUUCAAUAGUGGAACUCAGCUUGAGACUACUUUUGAUAUCAUUCUUCCCCAUAAUAGAAAUAGCAGACUAAGAGAAUCAAAACAUUCUUGGGCGUGUGAAAUUGUGCUUAAUUUGAGUGUUGUACUCGAUCAAAAGCCAGUCUUGUCAGUGCUCUCGUCGACCUCUUGGUACACGUAAUGUUUGCAUCAUUUCAUAGCAUGUGAGCGGCGCACCCAGCAAAUUGGUCAGGAAUGUGAAGCUGGAUACAUAGUCUCUUCCUAUUUUGACAUCGUAUGGCAGCUAAUGAUGUUUUCAAUCA